Molecule: ribosomal RNA, 446 nt
Filed under: uncultured bacterium
Lineage: Bacteria
Description: bacterial SSU rRNA
Rfam family: Bacterial small subunit ribosomal RNA
Source: RNAcentral
AACGAACGCUGGCGGCAGGCCUAACACAUGCAAGUCGAACGCUCGUAGCAAUACGAGAGUGGCAGACGGGUGAGUAACACGUGGGAACCUUCCCUUCGGUCGGGAAUAGCUCAGGGAAACUUGAGGUAAUACCGGAUACGCCCUUACGGGGAAAGAUUUAUCGCCGAAGGAUGGGCCCGCGUCGGAUUAGCUAGUUGGUGAGGUAACGGCUCACCAAGGCGACGAUCCGUAGCUGGUCUGAGAGGAUGAUCAGCCACACUGGGACUGAGACACGGCCCAGACUCCUACGGGAGGCAGCAGUGGGGAAUAUUGGACAAUGGGCGCAAGCCUGAUCCAGCCAUGCCGCGUGAGUGACGAAGGCCUUAGGGUUGUAAAGCUCUUUUGGUCGGGGAAGAUAAUGACGGUACCGCAGAAUAAGCUCGGCUAACUUCGUGCCAGCAGCCGCA